AUGAACAUCUUACAUCUGGAUAUCAAAACAGACAAUAUCCUAAUGGUGUCCCCUGCGAGAGAAGAAAUCCAAAUCUGUGAUUUUGGCUUCUGCCAGGAAAUUGACAACUCCAGACACCAGUACAGCAAGUUUGGGACACCUGAAUUUGUUGCACCAGAAAUUGUCCACCAAGAACCUGUGACAGUAGCCACUGAUAUCUGGUCUCUUGGUGUGGUUACUUACCUAUGCUUAACAUGCCACUGUCCUUUCUUCGGGGAGAAUGACCGUUCCACACUGAUGAAGGUCGCUGAGGGUGUGCUGUACUGGUACACACCUGAGAUCACAAACAGAAGUGUGGAGGCACAGGACUUCCUACAUAGGGUUCUACAGCCAGACCCAGAAGUGAGACCCUCUGCAUCUGAGUGUUUGAGUCAUGAGUGGUUUCAGGGUUAUUAUGAAGAUGAAGAACCUGAGGGCAUAAAUACCAAAAAUCUAAAAUCUUUUAUUUCAAGAAGAAAAUGGCAGCGUUCCUUGACAUGUCUCGGCUCGGUUCUGACUUUGAGACCAAUCCCAGAGUUGUUGGAGGCUCCUCUGCGUGACGUUUCGAUUACAGCUACAAGGGAAACCCAGGAGCUCAGCAGCACCUCCCUAAGUAGUGGAUCCUCCUCAGAGUUUGAUGAAGCAGAUGCUUGGGACUUCUUCCAACAGGUGAGCCAGGAGAAUGAAGAUGAUCUGGAAGAAGAGGAAGAAUAUGACCCAUACACUCAUGUGUCAAAGACGCCCACAGUUUUAAAACGGGAUGAAGAAGAUGUGCUUAUUGCUGAGGACCGCAUUCACAGUGGCCUGCUGGUGAUUUCCACGUCCACACCAUCAACAGAGCCAGUCAGUUUGGAGAGGAGGGACAGUAGCCCCUAUCUUCACCUCUCUGAGAGAGACGAAGGAUUGGAUCCCAUACCACGUCGUAUCCUCAUCAAGAGCACUUUUUAUUGCAGCUCCGAGCAGCUCUCACCCAUGUCUGCUCGUCACAUGACGCUUCGGGAUAAAAUCCAAGCUAAAAAGCAAGAGCGUGGCCGUAAACCCCUCCGUGCCAGCCUCUCCGGCAGGUUAAAUGAGCCCCUCAUAGAGUAUGUAGAAGAUUCCCCAGACUUAGAAGCUAAUCGUAACCAAAGAAGAGGAUCAAUGCAUUCAUCUAUCCUCAAGUCAAGCUCAUUUGAUAGUGGAGUGAGUGCUGCCCAUCCAAGCAUACACACCCAGAGAAGAAGCAGGUCAUUAGAUGUAUACACACAACGCUCUCCAACUUCAACUGACCCAACAGUGCAAGGAGAGGAUGAGCAUGAUGUUGAAGAAAGCCAGAAACCAGAUGUCACUGAUGAAGAAGAGGAAAAAACUGAAGAAGUCCAAGUGAGAAGGAAACUUUGCCGUCGCUCUGCGUUUUUGUCAAAGAAAGGCCCAUUAAUUGUGAGAAAGGUCAGAGCACAGGUUCAUGAGCCUGAAGAAGGACAUCAGCCAGCCUUGCAGAGUUCUUGUGAGGAUGACAACCAGUUGCAGGUCACGGAAACAGAGACAAGACAUUUAGGUGAUGAGGAGAGCGUGGAUGGCUCACAGCUUUCACUGGCAUGUUCGCUUGACCACAGUUCAGAAGCUUCUAGCAGGAUAGGCUCACAUGAAGAACUCUCCCACAGACACCACCAUGAUGAGAGCUUGAUCGCUGCAUCCUCUGGAAAAACAUCUCCAUGCUCUUUACUACAAGACUCUGAGGAUGAAGACAUGGAGAGGGUCCUGAGAUCUCUUUGCCAAGACCUCCCGCAAGCCCCGCCAAGACGGCGCACCAACAGUUCAAGCUCUGGACUAAAUGAGAUGCGCAAUAAGAGUGACGUCCUUCUGAGAAGAAGCUCCUCUGCGGUUCCUGUCCAGGCUGCAGUAGCAGGACGAGAAAGUAAAGAGUUACUUCAAAGACAUGCCUCAGCCCCGGCUCUUCAAGCCAAACCCCCUAGUGGGAAAUCUUCCAAGCCUGGAUUCAUGAAGAUCUUCCGUAAACAUUCGUGGGCUAGCCAUUCUUCUCCUCAACUAGAAGGCUCGGAAAAGAAACAAACAGAAGGAGCAUCCUCACAACCCAAGACCCCUCUUCUAACUCUGAGGAAGAAGAUGCGAGCUUCAGCCUCUAGCAUUACAAAACUGUUUACCCGACAAUCCAGCAAAGAGGAUGAAGAGAAGAAGAAAGGCGGACCAAUUGUGAAGAACUCCUCCCCCGUCACGCCAGAGAAAAUGACCACAGUAAUAGCCACCACCUCAUCCGAAAGUCCUCAGAAGAAGUCCAAAUUGUUCUCGCUGAAAGUGCCGAUAUUUAAGAAAACCAAAGAAAGUCCAGUCAAACCAUCCAGGCCAGAUGUCAUUCAGCUAGCAGGAGGAGGAGUGCUUGUGUUCUGGAAACUUGUGCCAUCAAAAGAACUUGUCACAUAUUGUAUUCAGUAUAGUGUAAAUGGUGUGGAGUGGAGAAUGUUGGCAGAGAAUGUUACAGACAGCUGUUUUACAGUAAAUGCCCUUCCGAGAGGACCGGGAUAUAUGUUCAGAGUGUCCCAUAACACCAAGACAGGGUUGGCACCUUUUAGUGACCCUUCACCACCAGCCUUUAUGGCCACACCUUAUGAAGGUAGAGACUUGCUGGAAAUAUUACUUAUUUUUAUCCAAAACUACUUAAAAUGU
This 2682-nucleotide long non-coding RNA is filed under the name Sinocyclocheilus anshuiensis. Its description in RNAcentral is "lncRNA (ENSSANG00000034088.1)". Lineage: Eukaryota; Metazoa; Chordata; Actinopteri; Cypriniformes; Cyprinidae. The record is from RNAcentral.